Molecule: ribosomal RNA, 407 nt
Filed under: uncultured Actinoplanes sp.
Lineage: Bacteria; Bacillati; Actinomycetota; Actinomycetes; Micromonosporales; Micromonosporaceae
Description: bacterial SSU rRNA
Rfam family: Bacterial small subunit ribosomal RNA
Source: RNAcentral
UGGGGAAUAUUGCACAAUGGGCGGAAGCCUGAUGCAGCGACGCCGCGUGAGGGAUGACGGCCUUCGGGUUGUAAACCUCUUUCAGCAGGGACGAAGCGUGAGUGACGGUACCUGCAGAAGAAGCGCCGGCCAACUACGUGCCAGCAGCCGCGGUAAGACGUAGGGCGCGAGCGUUGUCCGGAUUUAUUGGGCGUAAAGAGCUCGUAGGCGGCUUGUCGCGUCGACUGUGAAAACCCGCGGCUCAACCGCGGGCCUGCAUUCGAUACGGGCAGGCUAGAGUUCGGUAGGGGAGACUGGAAUUCCUGGUGUAGCGGUGAAAUGCGCAGAUAUCAGGAGGAACACCGAUGGCGAAGGCAGGUCUCUGGGCCGAUACUGACGCUGAGGAGCGAAAGCGUGGGGAGCGAACA